CCCUCGGUGGUACAAUCGGUUAAUGUGCUCGGCUGCUAACUGAAAGGGUGGAGGUUCAAGUCCACCCAGAGGCA
This 74-nucleotide transfer RNA is filed under the name Loxodonta africana (African savanna elephant). It matches the Rfam family "tRNA". Rfam says of the family: Transfer RNA (tRNA) molecules are approximately 80 nucleotides in length. Their secondary structure includes four short double-helical elements and three loops (D, anti-codon, and T loops). The record is from Rfam by way of RNAcentral. Lineage: Eukaryota; Metazoa; Chordata; Mammalia; Proboscidea; Elephantidae.